This 291-nucleotide ribosomal RNA is filed under the name Anaerospora hongkongensis. Its description in RNAcentral is "partial 16S ribosomal RNA". It matches the Rfam family "Bacterial small subunit ribosomal RNA", at positions 524 to 813 of the family's 1533-position model. The record is from RNAcentral. Lineage: Bacteria; Bacillati; Bacillota; Negativicutes; Selenomonadales; Sporomusaceae.
UACGUAGGGUGCGAGCGUUAAUCGGAAUUACUGGGCGUAAAGCGUGCGCAGGCGGUUAUGUAAGACAGAUGUGAAAUCCCCGGGCUCAACCUGGGAACUGCAUUUGUGACUGCAUGGCUAGAGUACGGUAGAGGGGGAUGGAAUUCCGCGUGUAGCAGUGAAAUGCGUAGAUAUGCGGAGGAACACCGAUGGCGAAGGCAAUCCCCUGGACCUGUACUGACGCUCAUGCACGAAAGCGUGGGGAGCAAACAGGAUUAGAAACCCUGGUAGUCCGUAGCCAGAUACCCUUGU